This 71-nucleotide transfer RNA is filed under the name Toxocara canis (dog roundworm). It matches the Rfam family "tRNA". Rfam says of the family: Transfer RNA (tRNA) molecules are approximately 80 nucleotides in length. Their secondary structure includes four short double-helical elements and three loops (D, anti-codon, and T loops). The record is from Rfam by way of RNAcentral. Lineage: Eukaryota; Metazoa; Nematoda; Chromadorea; Rhabditida; Toxocaridae.
UGGGCAGUAGCUGAGUGGUAGGGCUCCGCUUCAUGUGCGGGAAGACUUGGGUUCGAUUCCCGGUUGCUUAC